UUCCGGUUGAUCCUGCCGGAGGCUACCGCUAUUGGAGUUCGAUUAAGCCAUGCGAGUCGCGAGAAAUUAGAUUCUCGGCGUACCGCUCAGUAACACGUGGGUAACCUGCCCUAUGCUGGAUAAUAACCUCGGGAAACUGAGAAUAAUGAUCCAUAGUUCACUACGCCUGGAACGGUGAGUGGAUGAAAGCUCCGGCGGCAUAGGAUGGGCCUGCGGCGUAUCAGGUUGUAGGGGGUGUAACGUACCCUCUAGCCCUCUACGCGUACGGGUGUUGAGAGACAUCGCCCGGAGAUGGAUUCUGAGACACGAAUCCAGACCCUACGGGGUGCAGCAGGCGCGAAAACUUGGCAAUGCGAGAAAUCGUGACCAGGGAACUCCAAGUGCAUCGGGUAAGACCGAUGCUUUUCUAGACUCUAAAAAGGUCUUGGAAUAAGAGGUGGGUAAGGACGGUGCCAGCCGCCGCGGUAAUACCGGCGCCUCAAGUGGUAGUCGCUUUUAUUGGGCCUAAAACGUCCGUAGCCGGUCUGAUACAUUCGUGGGUAAAUCAACCAGCUUAACUGGUUGAAUUCUGCGAGGACGGUCAGACUUGGGACCGGGAGAGGUGUGGGGUACGCUCAGGGUAGGGGUAAAAUCCUGUCAUCCUGAGCGGACCACCUGUUGCGAAGGCGCCACACUAGAACGGAUCCGACGGUCAGGGACGAAGCCUAGGGGCACGAACCGGAUUAGAUACCCGGGUAGUCCUAGGUGUAAACGCUGUGGACUUGAUGUUGGGGGUGCUCCGAGCACUCUCAGUGUCGAAGCGAAGGUGAUAAGUCCACUGCCUGGGAAGUACGGUCGCAAGGCUGAAACUUAAAGGAAUUGGCGGGGGAGCACCGCAACCUGAGGAUUGUGCGGUUUAAUUGGAUUCAACGCCGGA
This 916-nucleotide ribosomal RNA is filed under the name uncultured marine archaeon. Its description in RNAcentral is "bacterial SSU rRNA". It matches the Rfam family "Archaeal small subunit ribosomal RNA", at positions 1 to 922 of the family's 1478-position model. The record is from RNAcentral.